GGCCUUUAAUGGGGAACUAAAACCUGCUGGGGAAAUGGGUGUGUUCAGGGGAAGCUGAGUGUUUUGUUUGCUGUUCCAGAGGGAGCUUCCCCGGGGGGGUCUCAGUUGGAUUACGAUAACGUGGAGGAGCCUGCCUUGAACAAGGUCCCCCAGACUCCAGACAGUCGAGAGGUCCCUGCCCUGCCUGGAGAUGUCCCAGGGGACGGUUAUGAUGAUGCCGGAGAAAUUUCUGACCUUGAAGAUGACCCUGGUUCUGGACCGAGUGCCCAGGAAGUCACUGGGGCCCAUGAGGAAAGCGUCAGGAACAGGGAUUCAGAGACAGGCUGGAGUCUGCACUCCCUAAGAAGUGAAGGGGCCUCUGGGGCUGAGAGUGACGUCCUGUCCCCACCUCCUCGUGACCCGGGUUAUGAUGACGUUGAUGAUGGCGUCUCUGGGACAUCAAUAUAAGAACGACUGAGUUCAGAUCAAAUAUCCUAUGAGGAUGUAAAUGCUGUAUGGUUAGACUCUUCCUGUCCCAAAUGCUCAUUGACCCGUGGGGGCAUCGGAGACAAUCCCUGCCUGGGAAUUACUUCAAUCAGCUUUUUUAUUUCAGUUUUGUUUAGAUGCAAGAAAUAAGUGUGACUGAGACAGGGGCUGCGAUUUCCCCUCUAAUUUCCCAUUGAUCAGAACUUCUCUGCUUUUUUGUUCCUAACAUUUCUUCUUUGUGAAUUUUUGCUUUUUCUUAUUAAACCUUUUUUGAAGAUCUGUUCCAGGGCUGAUGUUUCUCUCAUGAGGUCUGUUGGGUGGCUCCAUGGGGACCAGCAGGGAGAGAUAUGGAGACUGAAUCACCCAAAAGUAAUAAUGUUAAAGUGUCACUUCUCAGGUAUCAUCGACUCCAGGAUGGGCACUGCACUGAGAGUGAAUGUUUUAUCAGGGGUGUGGUAACAG
Molecule: non-coding RNA, 927 nt
Organism: Chrysemys picta bellii (western painted turtle)
Lineage: Eukaryota; Metazoa; Chordata; Testudines; Emydidae
Source: RefSeq, a predicted model, not a curated record